Molecule: long non-coding RNA, 786 nt
Organism: Poecilia latipinna (sailfin molly)
Lineage: Eukaryota; Metazoa; Chordata; Actinopteri; Cyprinodontiformes; Poeciliidae
Exons: 3
Source: RefSeq, a predicted model, not a curated record
AAUAAAGGCUUGUGUUGUUAUGUACGACUGCCAGUAGGUACUUUUUAACGCAGUCUAAGAAUAUCGUCACUUUGUGCGAGUCUCAGCUGCCAUAAAGCCACUCAGAGAUGAAUAGGUGCAGAGUUUAUGGUGCCACAUCUCAGAAGCUGCUAAAUCUCAGAGUUAAACCUGCUGCUCUCCCCGGUUUUUGCAGCCAAGCUAGAGCUCCGGGACACAAAGCCAGGUACUGCUGGUUGAUUACCUGCCAGAGUGAGGAGGAGGCUUGAUAAACACAACAGCUCCGAUGCAUUGUGCUUUCGUAACAGUGGCAAAUAAAUUGCAUUUGGCUGCCGGGCUAGCGCGAAGUUCCCACCUUGGACGUAAUGCAGGAACGUUUGCGGAAAAGUGGGCAGCUUGAUGAGAAGCCAGAGGCGAGCAGAACUGGAUGAUUCAAAACGACGCUGGAGGUUGUUGUGGAGUCAGAAAAUGUAUUUUGGCACGAGAACGCUGGCUUUGCCAACAUGAUGCCACUUAGCCGCUUAGUGAUUAAAGCGGAGUGGUGUUUGAGUUAUCACACUUAAGAGUAAUGUGGUGCUUUUUACAUCAGGCUCUGCUGCGACGAAUCACAAACCGUGGGUAAUAAAAUGGAACAGAAUGACAACAUCUCAAAAUAGAAACAGACAUUUCUUUUUCUGAGCUGGGAAACUGACUUAAAACAUAAAGGACUUGUGCUCAUGCAUUUAGACUUAUUACCACUAGAGGGCCACUUUAUUAUUUGCAACUUGAAAUAAAAAUCCACAAAACUUU